Molecule: unclassified non-coding RNA, 382 nt
Filed under: uncultured bacterium
Lineage: Bacteria
Description: contains 16S-23S intergenic spacer region
Source: RNAcentral
UCCGGCUUAUCACCGGCAGUCCCCUUAGAGUGCCCAACUGAAUGAUGGCAACUAAGGGCGAGGGUUGCGCUCGUUGCGGGACUUAACCCAACAUCUCACGACACGAGCUGACGACAGCCAUGCAGCACCUGUCUCCGAUCCAGCCGAACUGAAAGGCUCCAUCUCUGGUGCCCGCGAUCGGGAUGUCAAAGGUUGGUAAGGUUCUUCGCGUUGCAUCGAAUUAAACCACACGCUCCGCCGCUUGUGCGGGCCCCCGUCAAUUCCUUUGAGUUUAGCCUUGCGGCCGUACUCCCCAGGCGGGAUGCUUAAAGCGUUAGCUACGGCACGGAAAGGGUUGAAGACCUCCCCACACCUAGCACCCAACGUUUACGGCUGGGACUAC